RNAcentral lists this ribosomal RNA (253 nucleotides) under uncultured bacterium. Its description in RNAcentral is "partial 16S ribosomal RNA". It matches the Rfam family "Bacterial small subunit ribosomal RNA", at positions 524 to 776 of the family's 1533-position model. The record is from RNAcentral.
UACAGAGGUCCCAAGCGUUGUUCGGAUUCACUGGGCGUAAAGGGUGCGUAGGUGGUGAGGUAAGUCGGAUGUGAAAUCUCCGGGCUCAACCCGGAAAUGGCAUUGGAAACUACCUUGCUGGAGGAUUUGAGGGGGGAUUGGAAUACUUGGUGUAGCAGUGAAAUGCGUAGAUAUCAAGUGGAACACCAGUGGCGAAGGCGAAUCCCUGGAAAAUACCUGACACUGAGGCACGAAAGCGAGGGGAGCAAACAGG